This is a small nuclear RNA of Heteronotia binoei (common prickly gecko), 126 nucleotides long. RefSeq annotates it as U4atac minor spliceosomal RNA. The record is from RefSeq and is a predicted model, not a curated record. NCBI's taxonomy places the organism in Eukaryota, Metazoa, Chordata, Lepidosauria, Squamata, Gekkonidae. The transcript has a single exon.
CCAGGCCUUAUCUUGGGAUUGCGCUGCUGUUCAAUGAAUGUCUAGUGAGAAUAGCACUGUUAACACCUACACAACACAUAUGCAUCCAUGGGGGUUUCACCCCAAUGAGGUGCAAUUUUUAGGCCA